AUUUAAAGGUGAUUUACUCAUACUACUAAAAAAACAACUGGAGAAAUGUUAAUGUUAAUAGUACAGUGUGUAGAAAUGGAAAUAAAAGGCAAAAUCUAGCACUCAAUUUCUAGAUUGAAGUACUCCUUUGCUGAACGGACAGUAGCUUUUGAGGACAAUAAGCUCCUGUGAUUGCCUGACAAGUAUGAUCCUCCAUUUGUCAACCUUUUACAAUCAAUUAAGUCUGUCUGAAAAAUUAUUACAUUCACUAAAUAUAAAAAUGCAUGUGUUACUAAUUUGUCCAUUCUGUGCUACAGGACGUAGGCUGGAUGUGGCUGCCAGUUUGCACCUAUGGCCCCCCGACCACCACCACACAACACUCACAAUCAUAUACCAGUGGAGGACACACACACUGGGAGCAAGGUGGGUUAGGUCAGACUAGGGAUAGGGCGGGGUUCAAACUGCCAACUUUCCAGUUAUUGGCCGACCUCUCUACCUCCUGAGCUACUGCCGCCCUGUUCAUAACGAUCAAAGAUUUUUGAGUACCUAGGUGAUUAUGCACUAAUUUACAUGUAACUACAGAUGUUAUGUUCCACUCUUACCAAGUCUGCUCUGCUAAAUGCCACUAAAACUACACACUGUACCUUUAACAUGUCUGUCCAUGUUUAGCUCUCCUUUUUAAAAUGAGGCUCACAGCUUUUUAACCUUGUUGCUUUCAUUACUAUUGCUUCUGGUUUAAGUUACUUCGUGGUUCGAGCUCAUCAGUUCUGUUGCUGUUGCCUGGAUUGCAGGACACAAUGUUACUCCACCUUCAACUAAUCAGAGAUGGACGGGGC
This is a non-coding RNA of Xyrichtys novacula (pearly razorfish), 815 nucleotides long. NCBI's taxonomy places the organism in Eukaryota, Metazoa, Chordata, Actinopteri, Labriformes, Labridae. The record is from the annotation of a GenBank genome assembly.